Molecule: ribosomal RNA, 1355 nt
Filed under: metagenome
Description: bacterial SSU rRNA
Rfam family: Eukaryotic small subunit ribosomal RNA
Source: RNAcentral
GCUAAUACCGAAUAAUGACGUAAGUCCAAAGAUUUAUCGCCCAAGGAUGAGCCCGCGUAGGAUUAGCUAGUUGGUGAGGUAAAAGCUCACCAAGGCGACGAUCCUUAGCUGGUCUGAGAGGAUGAUCAGCCACACUGGGACUGAGACACGGCCCAGACUCCUACGGGAGGCAGCAGUGGGGAAUAUUGGACAAUGGGCGAAAGCCUGAUCCAGCAAUGCCGCGUGAGUGAUGAAGGCCUUAGGGUUGUAAAGCUCUUUUACCCGGGAUGAUAAUGACAGUACCGGGAGAAUAAGCUCCGGCUAACUCCGUGCCAGCAGCCGCGGUAAUACGGAGGGAGCUAGCGUUAUUCGGAAUUACUGGGCGUAAAGCGUACGUAGGCGGCUUUGUAAGUUAGAGGUGAAAGCCUGGAGCUCAACUCCAGAAUUGCCUUUAAGACUGCAUCGCUUGAAUCCAGGAGAGGUGAGUGGAAUUCCGAGUGUAGAGGUGAAAUUCUUGGAUCGUCGCAAGACGAACUACUGCGAAAGCAUUUGCCAAGAAUGUUUUCAUUAAUCAAGAACGAAAGUUAGAGGUUCGAAGGCGAUCAGAUACCGCCCUAGUUCUAACCAUAAACGAUGCCAACCGGCGAUCCGUCGUCGUUAAUUGAAUGACUCGACGGGCAGCCUCCGGGAAACCAGAGUGUUUGGGUUCCGGGGGAAGUAUGGUUGCAAAGCUGAAACUUAAAGGAAUUGACGGAAGGGCACCACCAGGAGUGGAGCCUGCGGCUUAAUUUGACCCAACACGGGAAAUCUCACCAGGCCCGGACACCGGAAGGAUUGACAGAUUGAUAGCUCUUUCUUGAUUCGGUGGGUGGUGGUGCAUGGCCGUUCUUAGUUGGUGGAGCGAUUUGUCUGGUUAAUUCCGAUAACGAACGAGACUCUGGCCUACUAACUAGAAGGGUCGUUCUUUACGAGCGGCCCUCUGCUUCUUAGAGGGACGGGCGGCGUUUAGCCGCACGAGAAUGAGCAAUAACAGGUCUGUGAUGCCCUUAGAUGUUCUGGGCUGCACGCGCGCUACACUGAAGGAAUCAGCAUGUUCUCCCCACCCUGAAAAGGGCGGGUAACCCGUUGAAACUCCUUCGUGAUGGGGAUUGGAGAUUGUAAUUAUUCUCCAUGAACGAGGAAUUCCCAGUAGGCGCGAGUCAUCAGCUUGCGUCGAUUACGUCCCUGCCCUUUGUACACACCGCCCGUCGCUACUACCGAUCGAGUGAUUUAGUGAGGACUUCGGACUGGUCUUCAAGUUGGCUUCCGUCAACUCGGAGUUCCGGAAAGAUGCCCAAACUUGAUCACUUAGAGGAAGUAAAAGUCGUAACAAGGUU